Molecule: long non-coding RNA, 997 nt
Organism: Lethenteron reissneri (Far Eastern brook lamprey)
Lineage: Eukaryota; Metazoa; Chordata; Hyperoartia; Petromyzontiformes; Petromyzontidae
Source: RefSeq, a predicted model, not a curated record
CGCGUGGCAGCGUGAUUCGUGGCAAGCAGCAGCAGCAGCAUUCCACCCCCUCUGCAGAGGAAGGCCAUUCAUCAGCCGCGUGGCAAGCGUGCUACGCUACGGACCUGGAUCCCCUGAGUUCAAUUCCAGACCACGGCGAACAUCAGUGCAUUUAGGAAAAACGAGUGGGCUUGGACAGGAGACGUCAUAGCUGCACGGGAUGAUUGCAUCUGGUCAAUACAAGAACGGAAUAGCAGCCGAGGAAUGCAACGCGCGCGAGAGACGGAGCGACGGUGCAAGCCAUCCCGGGCCCUCGCGGCCCUUCCCGUGGGGCCCCCGCCCGCCCUCCUCGCCUGCCGGCCAUCCCGGGGAAGCGCGCCUCUGCCAAGGGAGGGAGAGGAGCGGAAAGAGAGAGCUUGUGAUAGAGAGAGAGAAUCAAGGCGGUGUCGCUAUGAAUGGCGAUGUGGGGAGACACGGGGUGGAGGCGCGGCGAAGAGAAGGGAGAUUUCGCCUCAUUAACGGAGGUGCCUUGAAGAUUAAACACAGUGUCUGUGUGUCUCUGUGUGUGUGUGUCUAUCUGCGUGUAUGUCUGUGUGUGUCUCCGCGUGUAUGUGUGCACCACCCUGCGUGUACGACUGUGUGUGUACAGUAUGUCUGUCUUUGUGUGGGUGAUUUGUUUCUAGAAGUGUAUAUCUGUUGUUGUGUGUAAUUGCGUCAGCGUGUGUGUAACUAUUGAUGGUAAGUGUUCGCUAACAGAGACCUUCUUCGUCUUUGUAGGGUGCAGUGUGGGGAGCGGUGGCGCAGCCGUUAGCGUACUGCGCUGUCAACAGGCGACCCGAGCUCGAUUCUCACUCACAACCAACAACAGUGGAGAUUUUUUAAACAGUUUCUGAGCCUCCCCUAGGUUGACUCAGCCCUAAAUGAGUACAUGGGGCGUGGAUAAACUUCAGCACUGGGAAGCAAAAGUGGACGGUCUCCCCACUCCUUUCGUGCUUGCCUUAAUAGGCGCUCGCUAACU